This 465-nucleotide ribosomal RNA is filed under the name uncultured bacterium. RNAcentral describes it as "partial 16S ribosomal RNA". It matches the Rfam family "Bacterial small subunit ribosomal RNA", at positions 28 to 507 of the family's 1533-position model. The record is from RNAcentral.
GACGAACGCUGGCGGCGUGCUUAACACAUGCAAGUCGAACGGAAAGGCCCUGCUUGCAGGGUGCUCGAGUGGCGAACGGGUGAGUAACACGUGGGUGUUCUGCCCUGCACUUCGGGGUAAGCCUGGGAAACUGUGUCGAAUACCGGAUAGGAGCCAUUCUUAGUGUGAUGGUUGGAAAGUUUUUUCGGUGUAGGAUGAGCGCGCGGCCUAUCAGCUUGUUGGUGGGGUAAUGGCCUACCAAGGCGGCGACGGGUAGCCGGCCUGGGAGGGUGGACGGCCACAUUGGGACUGGGAUACGGCCCCGACGCCUACGGGAGGCAGCAGUGGGGAAUAUUGCCCAAAGGGCGCAAGCCUGAUGCAGCGACGCCGCGUGGGGGAUGACGGCCUUCGGGUUGGAAACUCCUUUCGCUAGGGACGAAGCUUUUUGUGACGGUACCUAGAGAAGAAGCACCGGCUAACUACGUG